GUGGGGUUGUGGCUCAGAGGUAAAGCGCUUGCCUAGCAUGCGUGAGGCGCUGGGUUUGAUUCUCAGCACCACA
RNAcentral lists this transfer RNA (73 nucleotides) under Marmota monax (woodchuck). RNAcentral's name for it is "tRNA.Ala". The record is from RNAcentral. Lineage: Eukaryota; Metazoa; Chordata; Mammalia; Rodentia; Sciuridae.